UUUAUUAUCUUCUUUUAUUAUCUUCUAUUUAAUAUAUCCCUUUUUAUUUAAAUCAUCAACUGAACAUACUGAACGUACCCCAUAUAUUCUUACUCUGUAAGUAUCUGUUUUUCAAUACGGAACAUGCCCGCCACUGUCUACGUCGCACUGUCAUGAAAGUGACACUUCAUCCCUACUCGCUGACACAAAAUCAAAAUGGAAGGGAAAAAUAAAUCUAUUUAAAGAGAUGGGCCCAUAAGGCACUAUCUAUUUCAAGACUUUCAUUCUCUUGGGUUUUUGGGAUAAGAAUAAACUUUUCUACCUCCGGGAGCCUCCAGCUUCAAGCCAACCUCACCGGUGAUGGAACUACGGGGAAAUAACGUGAGACCAUGACAUCCAUACUACAGCAUCCAACAUCUGCAGGUGCACUGACCUAGGGCCACAACAUCUGCCCAGGUCUACAAGAAGUCCACAGCAGUACCAUUCAACAUCAAGAAGUUACCAUCAGCUGCCAAAAGCCAUAAGUAUAAUCCAGAAUUGUUAGUUUCUGAUAAUGCGCCAGUUGCUGAACCAAUUAAGAAUACCGAUACAAAGAAAACGGAGUCAUCUACGUCUCCAUACAAAAAGUCUGAUCAUUCACAAAGUUUUGAGCUCGCUAAAGACAUUAAAACCGAAAGUACAUUAGUCGAAAUCGCUGAUACUUCAUCGCGAAAAUGUCCAAUAAGCUGCACCAAUAACAAACCGAAUGGAAAACGACAAAAACUAGAAAAUAGUGAAGACACUAAGAGGUCAGAGCGAUUAUUUGGUGAUCUAGUUGUUGCUAUGUUACAGGAAAAACCUGAGAGCGAAAGAAACAGGUAUAUGAUUCAAAUUAUGACCAUUCUAUCGAAAUAAAGUCACGUUGUAACAAAAAAAAUGUGUGUGUACUUUGUACGCACGUAAGAAGUUAUACUUCUAUUAUUAUGAUUUCAAAGAAAUUAAUAUACUUAACAGGUUAUUUGUAUUUUAUUUAAAUAUUAAACUAACUUUCUUUACCUACCACUUUUAAAA
RNAcentral lists this long non-coding RNA (1029 nucleotides) under Diabrotica virgifera virgifera (western corn rootworm). RNAcentral's name for it is "uncharacterized LOC114324377". The record is from RNAcentral. Lineage: Eukaryota; Metazoa; Arthropoda; Insecta; Coleoptera; Chrysomelidae.